RNAcentral lists this ribosomal RNA (253 nucleotides) under uncultured bacterium. RNAcentral describes it as "partial 16S ribosomal RNA". It matches the Rfam family "Bacterial small subunit ribosomal RNA", at positions 524 to 776 of the family's 1533-position model. The record is from RNAcentral.
UACGUAGGGCGCAAGCGUUGUCCGGAAUUACUGGGCGUAAAGCGUGCGCAGGCGGCUUUGCAAGACAGAUGUGAAAUCCCCGGGCUUAACCUGGGAACUGCAUUUGUGACUGCAAGGCUGGAGUGCGGCAGAGGGGGAUGGAAUUCCGCGUGUAGCAGUGAAAUGCGUAGAUAUGCGGAGGAACACCGAUGGCGAAGGCAAUCCCCUGGGCCUGCACUGACGCUCAUGCACGAAAGCGUGGGGAGCAAACAGG